Transfer RNA from Sus scrofa (pig), 72 nucleotides. It matches the Rfam family "tRNA". Rfam says of the family: Transfer RNA (tRNA) molecules are approximately 80 nucleotides in length. Their secondary structure includes four short double-helical elements and three loops (D, anti-codon, and T loops). Lineage: Eukaryota; Metazoa; Chordata; Mammalia; Artiodactyla; Suidae. The record is from Rfam.
UCCCUGGUGGUCUAGUGGUUAGGACUCAGCACUUUCACUGCUGCGGCUGGGGUUCGAGCCCCGGUCUGGGAA